This 56-nucleotide microRNA precursor is filed under the name Heligmosomoides polygyrus. RNAcentral describes it as "microRNA hpo-mir-10031a precursor (hpo-mir-10031a-1)". Lineage: Eukaryota; Metazoa; Nematoda; Chromadorea; Rhabditida; Heligmosomidae. The record is from miRBase by way of RNAcentral.
ACGAGGUGGACUUGAGACAGAACUCAUGAAGAUUCUCGCCCAUUUCUCCCUUGCAC